CUCGUAGGCGGUUCGUCGCGUCCGGUGUGAAAGUCCAUCGCUUAACGGUGGAUCCGCGCCGGGUACGGGCGGGCUUGAGUGCGGUAGGGGAGACUGGAAUUCCCGGUGUAACGGUGGAAUGUGUAGAUAUCGGGAAGAACACCAAUGGCGAAGGCAGGUCUCUGGGCCGUUACUGACGCUGAGGAGCGAAAGCGUGGGGAGUGAACA
RNAcentral lists this ribosomal RNA (207 nucleotides) under uncultured bacterium. RNAcentral describes it as "partial 16S ribosomal RNA". It matches the Rfam family "Bacterial small subunit ribosomal RNA", at positions 568 to 774 of the family's 1533-position model. The record is from RNAcentral.